RNAcentral lists this ribosomal RNA (459 nucleotides) under uncultured bacterium. Its description in RNAcentral is "partial 16S ribosomal RNA". It matches the Rfam family "Bacterial small subunit ribosomal RNA", at positions 338 to 795 of the family's 1533-position model. The record is from RNAcentral.
CCUACGGGAGGCAGCAGUGAGGAAUAUUGGUCAAUGGUCGGGAGACUGAACCAGCCAAGCCGCGUGAGGGAUGAAGGUACAGAGUAUCGUAAACCUCUUUUGUCAGGGAACAAAGGCGGGGACGUGUCCCCGGAUGAGUGUACCUGAAGAAAAAGCAUCGGCUAACUCCGUGCCAGCAGCCGCGGUAAUACGGAGGAUGCGAGCGUUAUCCGGAUUUAUUGGGUUUAAAGGGUGCGCAGGCGGUCUGUUAAGUCAGCGGUAAAAGCACGGGGCUCAACCCCGGCCCGCCGUUGAAACUGGCAGUCUCGAGUUGGAGAGAAGUAUGCGGAAUGCGCGGUGUAGCGGUGAAAUGCAUAGAUAUCGCGCAGAACUCCGAUUGCGAAGGCAGCAUGCCGGCUCCACACUGACGCUGAGGCACGAAAGCGUGGGUAUCGAACAGGAUUAGAUACCCUUGUAGUC